UGGGGGAUAACGCACCGAAAGGUGUGCUAGUACCGCAUAAUCUCUACGGAGAAAAGCAGGGGAUCGCAAGACCUUGCGCUCUUAGAGCGGCCGAUGUCUGAUUAGCUAGUUGGUGAGGUAAAGGCUUACCAAGGCGACGAUCAGUAGCUGGUCUGAGAGGACGACCAGCCACACUGGGWCUGAGACACGGCCCAGACUCCUACGGGAGGCAGCAGUGGGGAAUUUUGGACAAUGGGGGAAACCCUGAUCCAGCCAUGCCGCGUGAGUGAAGAAGGCCUUCGGGUUGUAAAGCUCUUUCAGCCGGAACGAAACGGUCACGGCUAAUACUCUGUGACUACUGACGGUACCGGAAGAAGAAGCACCGGCUAACUACGUGCCAGCAGCCGCGGUAAUACGUAGGGUGCAAGCGUUAAUCGGAAUUACUGGGCGUAAAGCGUGCGCAGGCSGUUUUGUAAGUCAGAUGUGAAAUUCCCCGGGCUUAACCUGGGAACUGCGUUUGAAACUACAAGGCUAGAGUGUAGCAGAGGGGGGUGGAAUUCCACGUUGUAGCAGUGAAAUGCGUAGAGAUGUGGAGGAACACCGAUGGCGAAGGGCAGCCCCCUGGGUUAACACUGACGCUCAGGCACGAAAGCGUGGGGAGCAAACAGGAUUAGAUACCCCUGGUAGUCCACGCCCUAAACGAUGUCAACUAGUUGUCGGGUCUUAACGGACUUGGUAACGCAGCUAACGCGUGAAGUUGACCGCCUGGGGAGUACGGUCGCAAGAUUAAAACUCAAAGGAAUUGACGGGGACCCGCACAAGCGGAGGAUUAUGUGGAUUAAUUCGAUGCAACGCGAAAAACCUUACCUACCCUUGACAUGUACCGAAGUCCGCUGAGAGGUGGGCGUGCCCGAAAGGGAGCGGUAACACAGGUGCUGCAUGGCUGUCGUCAGCUCGUGUCGUGAGAUGUUGGGUUAAGUCCCGCAACGAGCGCAACCCUUGUCAUUAAUUGCCAUCAUUCAGUUGGGCACUUUAAUGAGACUGCCGGUGACAAACCGGAGGAAGGUGGGGAUGACGUCAAGUCCUCAUGGCCCUUAUGGGUAGGGCUUCACACGUAAUACAAUGGCGCGUACAGAGGGUUGCCAACCCGCGAGGGGGAGCUAAUCUCAGAAAGCGCGUCGUAGUCCGGAUCGGAGUCU
This 1178-nucleotide ribosomal RNA is filed under the name uncultured Nitrosospira sp. RNAcentral describes it as "bacterial SSU rRNA". It matches the Rfam family "Bacterial small subunit ribosomal RNA", at positions 137 to 1306 of the family's 1533-position model. Lineage: Bacteria; Pseudomonadati; Pseudomonadota; Betaproteobacteria; Nitrosomonadales; Nitrosomonadaceae. The record is from RNAcentral.